RNAcentral lists this ribosomal RNA (403 nucleotides) under uncultured bacterium. Its description in RNAcentral is "partial 16S ribosomal RNA". It matches the Rfam family "Bacterial small subunit ribosomal RNA", at positions 30 to 526 of the family's 1533-position model. The record is from RNAcentral.
AUUGAACGCUGGCGGCAGGCCUAACACAUGCCAGUCGAGCGAGAGGCGGACGGGUGAGUAAUGUAAGGGGCCUGCCCGAUAGCGGGGGAUAACUACUGGACACGGUAGCUAAUACCGCAUACUAUCGGAUAACCCAUAUGGGAUUAGCUAGUAGGUGAGGGAAUGACUCACCUAGGCGCCGAUCCCUAGCUGGUCUGAGAGGAUGAUCAGCCCCACGUGGACUGAGAAACGGCCCAGACUCCUACGGAGGCAGCAGUGGGGAAUAUUGCGCAGUGGGCGCAAGCCUGCUGCAGCCAUGCCGCGUGUAUGAUGACGGCCCUAGGGUUGUAAAGUAGUUUCAGUCGGGAGGCGUUACCGACAGAAGGAGCACCGGCUAACUCCGUGCCAGCAGCCGCGGUAAUUC